ACGCUGGCGGCACGCCUUACACACGCAAGUCGAACGGCAGCGCGUCCUUCGGGAUGGCGGCGAGUGGCGAACGGGUGAGUAAAGCAUCGGAACGUGCCCGGUAGUGCGGGAUAGCUCGGCGAAAGCCGGAUUAAUACCGCAUGAGAUCCGUGGAUGAAAGCAGGGGACCCCUUGUGGGCCUUGCGCUACUGGAGCGGCCGAUGUCAGAUUAGGUAGUUGGUGGGGUAAAGGCCCACCAAGCCUGCGAUCUGUAGCUGGUCUGAGAGGAUGAUCAGCCACAUCGGGACUGAGACACGGCCCGAACUCCUACGGGAGGCAGCAGUGGGGAAUUUUGGACAAUGGGCGCAAGCCUGAUCCAGCCAUGCCGCGUGCAGGAUGAAGGCCCUCGGGUUGUAAACUGCUUUUGUACGGAACGAAAAGCCUCUUUCUAAUAAAGAGGGGUGAUGACGGUACCGUAAGAAUAAGCACCGGCUAACUACGUGCCAGCAGCCGCGGUAAUACGUAGGGUGCGAGCGUUAAUCGGAAUUACUGGGCGUAAAGCGUGCGCAGGCGGUCUUGCAAGACAGUGGUGAAAUCCCCGGGCUCAACCUGGGAACGGCCAUUGUGACUGCAAGGCUGGAGUACGGCAGAGGGGGGUGGAAUUCCGCGUGUAGCAGUGAAAUGCGUAGAUAUGCGGAGGAACACCGAUGGCGAAGGCAGCCCCCUGGGCCUGUACUA
This 717-nucleotide ribosomal RNA is filed under the name uncultured bacterium. Its description in RNAcentral is "bacterial SSU rRNA". It matches the Rfam family "Bacterial small subunit ribosomal RNA", at positions 33 to 742 of the family's 1533-position model. The record is from RNAcentral.